AACAAGGUCUCCGUUGGUGAACCAGCGGAGGGAUCAUUAUCGAGUUAUUCAACUCCCAAACCCUAUGUGAACUUACCACUUGUUGCUUCGGCGCGCGCUUCGGCGCCGCCGAGGACACUUAAACUCUUUGUUUUUAUAAGCAUUUCUGAGUGGCCGAAAGGCAAAAAUACAAAUGAAUCAAAACUUUCAACAACGGAUCUCUUGGUUCUGGCAUCGAUGAAGAACGCAGCGAAAUGCGAUAAGUAAUGUGAAUUGCAGAAUUCAGUGAAUCAUCGAAUCUUUGAACGCACAUUGCGCCCGCCAGCAUUCUGGCGGGCAUGCCUGUUCGAGCGUCAUUUCAACCCUCGAGCCCGACUCUUUUGAGGACGGCUCGGCGUUGGGGGACGGCAGACUCCCCCCGGCAUCUCGCCGGGGACGCCGCCCCCGAAAUCUAGUGGCGGCCCUCCGAGGCGACCUCUGCGUAGUAACUUGUUCUCGCACCGGAAAACUCAGAGCGGCCACGCCGUAAAACCCCAACUUUUUUCAGGUUGACCUCGAAUCAGGUAGGACUACCCGCUGAACUUAAGCAUAUCAAUA
Molecule: ribosomal RNA, 576 nt
Filed under: uncultured eukaryote
Lineage: Eukaryota
Description: eukaryotic LSU rRNA
Rfam family: 5.8S ribosomal RNA (bases 182-335)
Source: RNAcentral